UGGCGAAUAUGCAGUCUGCGUCUCAAUACACAUCCCAAUCAACAUUUGGGCAAAGAGGGCCUGAAGAGACACGUCUUCAGGGAGACAUCUCACUCGCCCAGAAACCGCCCAAGACUCCAGACCUCUCCUUCUGUUAAGCAUGGACUACCCGGUUAUAUCAGCUGUUUUGGUAAACCCUCCCGCAUCUGAACUGGCUGACACAGAGGGCACAGCAUGAUCAUAGAUAUGUUUUGAUGUGAGAGAGGAAGCCAGUCCCGUCAUCGCCACCUCACCCACUCUUAACCUCUCUUGGGUAGGGGGCAGUAUUUUCACGUCUGGAUGAAAAGCGUGCCCAGAGUAAACUGCCUGCUACUCAGGCCCAGAUGCUAGGAUAUGCAUAUUAUUAGUAGAUUUGGAUAGAAAACACUCUGAAGUUUCUACUCGGGGCACCUUAUUCAUUCAAGCUACUCAAUACUGCUCCCAGCCAUAAGAAGUUAAAACAAGUCAUUUUUGGCAAUGCUUGAGUUUGCCUUUAAUGUUAUUCAUGUCAAUUAAAUGGUGAGAGAAAUGACAAGACAACCCAAAUACAGCCCUCAUUUCAGCUGAGACACUCAGACACAAUCACUUCACUGUCUUGAGGCACCUAGAAGCCAACCUAGGAUGUCCACUUCCACUGGGGGCUGCAGUGAGACAAAGCUACUGGGAUCUCCUAUAGAACCUACGGUCUUCUGACAGACACCUGCUACAGUACCAGGGAGAACCAUGGCACCACGGUCCUCGGCUCUACCUCUAUUCAUCUAGAUUCUACACUAGAGUGUGGUUCAUGCUCAUACUGCAGUGGAACAUGAUGCCCAGUAAUACUGCAUGGCCAAUCUAAUCAUAUUGAAAAUAGUUUGUUUCAGUUAAAGUUUCAUUCUACUGUACCAGUGUUCAUUAUAUGCAGUUGCUAAAAUGUAUAUGGUUCGUCUUGACAAGAUGCAAGCAAUGAUUAUUACAUUGUUAUUCACAAAGAUGAUUAUUGUCUCAAUAAAUAAAGAUGUCCAUAAAACAUGUUGGGAUUAAAAAGGUUUAAACUGUU
Salvelinus fontinalis (brook trout) is the source of this 1057-nucleotide long non-coding RNA. RefSeq lists it as uncharacterized. The record is from RefSeq and is a predicted model, not a curated record. Lineage: Eukaryota; Metazoa; Chordata; Actinopteri; Salmoniformes; Salmonidae. The transcript is spliced from 4 exons.